UUAAGUUCAGCGGGUAGUCCUACCUGAUUUGAGGUCAGAUUUCAAAGUCGAGCUUUGAUGACCGCCACCCCAUGGGCAAGGUCUAGGAGGGACGCAAAAAGUGGAGAACGUCUCGGGGAGAGCGAGGAUGGUACAACGCCCAGUCGAGUUCGACCCACAGGUCCAACCGAAGCAUUUGAGGGGAGCAGCCUCGCGGCAGC
This 200-nucleotide unclassified non-coding RNA is filed under the name Agaricomycetes sp. RNAcentral's name for it is "partial internal transcribed spacer 2". The record is from RNAcentral. Lineage: Eukaryota; Fungi; Basidiomycota; Agaricomycetes.